CAGAAACUGAAUUGGUGAGUAAGGGUUGGUUAAAAAUGAAAGUCUCUGGGAACUGCACUAUGAUCAGUGGUGACUCUCCCUCUCCUGGGGGAUUGGUGAGGGUUGGACAUGCCUUUCUGACCAGAGUGGUAUCAGAGGUACUUGGAAGGAUCAGAGGUCUGCAAGCCAUUUACCUUAAGAAUCCUAUAACUGUUGGGUGUUGGAUUUAAAUGAAGGUUACAGUCUGGGAAUUCCCUGUAUAGGAAAAGCAACUUUUUCCUCUUGCUUUCUGGAAUUGACUUAGGCCUUUGGUCAUUGAUUGGAUGUAUCUGUGAUACCAUGAGCCUGGAAACUUUUCAGAAUUAUAAUCUUCCCCAUCCUAUAUUGGAUAAAACACCUGGAUCUGCACUGUCCACAGUAAGAGUUUUCUUUUCAACCAUUUGAACACAGUCUGACAUCCACCAUGAAGCUCUCCCUGUAAUGACGCAGGUCAGCAGAGGCUCUUUUAGGAACGUUAGUGGGUUCAUGGGGACACGGCCUCGUGUUGGGGACCCCUUUCUUGGAUAAUCAGCCUAUGCUCAUGAGAUGAUUUUUAGAGGGAUAGCCUUUGGUACUGCAGUAUUUUCCCUGUCUGAGGUACUUGGGACACCACUCUUGCUGCUUCUUACACACUGGUGUUCUGGAGCUGGUUCUAACCGUGGUUA
RNAcentral lists this long non-coding RNA (683 nucleotides) under Marmota monax (woodchuck). Lineage: Eukaryota; Metazoa; Chordata; Mammalia; Rodentia; Sciuridae. The record is from RNAcentral.